Molecule: long non-coding RNA, 545 nt
Organism: Arachis duranensis
Lineage: Eukaryota; Viridiplantae; Streptophyta; Magnoliopsida; Fabales; Fabaceae
Exons: 2
Source: RefSeq, a predicted model, not a curated record
AUACUUAACCAAAUUAUUCAAACCCUUCCUAUUUAUUUUCCUAUAUUACAGGGUGGUUUACACAAAAACUAGAGUUGAUUUUGAUACCCUAAUAUAAAAUAUCAAGCCAUGAAUUUUCACGUUGUUUCUGAUAUUGAAGUGUGAGGUCUGAGUAUAUUUUGUAUUUUUCAGGAACAUUUCUUGAAGCAGAAGAUUGAGAAUGCGAUGGGUUCGGCAGCACCAACUGGUAAACAGAUUUCUUAUUUGAAAAAACUAGGUUGCACGGUGACCCCUACGUCAAAGCUCCAUGCGUCCCAUCUUAUUGAACAAUACAAAUCAUUGUAAAAAAUUUAGAAGUGCUAUCUUUUAUUUCCCCUUUUCCGGCCCCAUUGUAAUGUAUCCGUGAGUAUUGGAAGCCCAAGCUAGUCCUCAACCUUGUAUAAUAUAUUUCCUAGGCUGCAUCCAACUUUGGUGAAAUAUGUAUAUAGAUGUGCUAUUUUAACUUAUAUAAUGUAAGGUUAAAAUUUUGCCAAUUUCUAUGUUAUGGACCAAUUACUUUCGUUACU